UACCACAUCCAAGGAAGGCAGCAGGCACGCAAAUUACCCACUCCCGGCACGGGGAGGUAGUGACAAAAAAUAACGAUACGGGACUCAUUUGAGGCCCCGUAAUCGGAAUGAGUACACUUUAAAUCCUUUAACAAGGAUCCAUUGGAGGGCAAGUCUGGUGCCAGCAGCCGCGGUAAUUCCAGCUCCAAUAGCGUCUUGGCAAAUGCUUUCGCNNNNNNNNNNNNNNNNNNNNGCAAGACGACCGAGAGCGAAAGCAUUUGCCAAGUAUGUCUCGAUUGAUCAAGAACGAAAGUUAGAGGUUCGAAGGCGAUCAGAUACCGCCCUAGUUCUAACCAUAAACGAUGCCAGCCAGCGAUCCGCCGAUGUUCCUCCGAUGACUCGGCGGGGAGCUUCUCCCCGGGAAACCAAAGCUUUUGGGUUCCGGGGGAAGUAUGGUUGCAAAGCUGAAACUUAAAGGAAUUGACGGAAGGGCACCACCAGGAGUGGAGCCUGCGGCUUAAUUUGACUCAACACGGGAAACCUCACCAGGUCAGGACAUUGUAAGGAUUGACAGAUUGAUAGCUCUUUCUUGAUUCAGUGGGUAGUGGUGCAUGGCCGUUCUUAGUUGGUGGAUCGAUUUGUCUGGUUAAUU
This 631-nucleotide ribosomal RNA is filed under the name Wallabicoris sp. WCW-2003. Its description in RNAcentral is "partial 18S ribosomal RNA". It matches the Rfam family "Eukaryotic small subunit ribosomal RNA", at positions 408 to 1324 of the family's 1831-position model. The record is from RNAcentral. Lineage: Eukaryota; Metazoa; Arthropoda; Insecta; Hemiptera; Miridae.